CAGUAGCCGCGGUAAUACAGAGGGUGCAAGCGUUAAUCGGAAUUACUGGGCGUAAAGCGCGCGUAGGUGGUUUGUUAAGUUGGAUGUGAAAGCCCCGGGCUCAACCUGGGAACUGCAUCCAAAACUGGCAAGCUAGAGUACGGUAGAGGGUGGUGGAAUUUCCUGUGUAGCGGUGAAAUGCGUAGAUAUAGGAAGGAACACCAGUGGCGAAGGCGACCACCUGGACUGAUACUGACACUGAGGUGCGAAAGCGUGGGGAGCAAACAGGAUUAGAGACCCGUGUAGUCCCUGUCUCUUAUAU
RNAcentral lists this ribosomal RNA (301 nucleotides) under uncultured bacterium. RNAcentral's name for it is "partial 16S ribosomal RNA". It matches the Rfam family "Bacterial small subunit ribosomal RNA", at positions 509 to 809 of the family's 1533-position model. The record is from RNAcentral.